Molecule: microRNA precursor, 324 nt
Filed under: Glycine max (soybean)
Lineage: Eukaryota; Viridiplantae; Streptophyta; Magnoliopsida; Fabales; Fabaceae
Description: miR4348d stem-loop (gma-MIR4348d)
Source: miRBase by way of RNAcentral
ACCAAUGUAAGACAAUUCACCUGCAGCGAAAGCUCACUCUCAUGUAAGGGUUGACAACAAUGUGAUGGAAAGUAGUGGUUAAUUAAACUCAAGAUAAUAGAAGACUAUGUGUCAAACUUGCAAGAUGAUAUUAUUAUGAUAGUUGGAAGCAUUCAGAAUAGCAAGAUCAAUAUGUGAGAGUAUCCAACACCUAAUAUUAUCAUCUUGUAAGUUUGAUACAUAGUUUUUCAUUAUUUUUUUAGUUUGACUACUAAUUUCUAUGGCAUUACCAAAUAACUCGUGUGUGAGUGAGCUUUCGGUGUCGGUGAAUUGCCCUACAUUGCU